This is a long non-coding RNA of Lactuca sativa (garden lettuce), 644 nucleotides long. RefSeq lists it as uncharacterized. The record is from RefSeq and is a predicted model, not a curated record. NCBI's taxonomy places the organism in Eukaryota, Viridiplantae, Streptophyta, Magnoliopsida, Asterales, Asteraceae.
UAUAUAAUACAUUACAAAAAAAUAAUUAAUACUUAUCAUUUAAAAAAUAAAUUCUUUGUGUAUCAUUAAACACUUGUCUAAUCAUGCGUAUGUGAUAAGAAAACUAAUUUGACUUAUAAACCUAUGAUAAGGCUAGGGAGUAGCCUCGAGCUCGACAGCCGCUAAGCUAGCUCGGCAAACACCAUUCUCUCCCCUUAUAGAUAAGAUGUUGUUGACUCUCUCUCUCCUUACUAUCUUCUUCUUCUUCCCCACUCCCCGGAAAGAAAAUUUAUCCAUCCUUGGUAGCUCAGUUCUUCUUCUUCUUCUUUUUCUUCUCUUCUUCCCCACUCCCUAGCCAUGGAAAAAGUUUUCUCCAUCCUUGGUAGCUCGGUGAGAUCAACACCAAACCCCCCUCCCCCUCCAACCUAAGAGGAGAUAAAGACAUGAAUCUCGUUAUGAUGUCCCAAUUUGAUGGAGAUUUACACAGAAGAUUUAUAUUGGUGUUGUUGGGGAUUUAUUUAUUUUAUAGCCCAGCGGUAUCCGGUGUUGCCCUGUCUUCUUGAGGUUAAGGGUUCCAGUCUCGCAAUGGACAUAGGUGAAAUAAUUUAGGUGUAUUUUGUUUAUUUGUCGUUUCAAAAAAAAUAUAUGGGGUACCAAUUAUAUCA